Molecule: non-coding RNA, 294 nt
Organism: Pelobates cultripes (western spadefoot toad)
Lineage: Eukaryota; Metazoa; Chordata; Amphibia; Anura; Pelobatidae
Source: the annotation of a GenBank genome assembly
ACCCGUCUGGGCCCGGAGCUUUAUGUUUGGGCAGUUUGCGAAUUGCGUUUUGUAUUUCUUCCUCUGUGAAUUUGGCUGAUAAGGUUGCGCAUUGACGUGCCGAUAAGUGCGGCAGCUCUGCUCCCGUCAAAAAGGUGGCUAUGUCUGGGUCUAAUGGUUGGUGUAAAGUACUGUCCUGUGCGAGGUUAUAAAGUCCUUUGUAGAAAUUGGCCAAUUCGUCUACUAUAUCUUGUGGGUUAAACAAUUUUGAUCCAGUAGACGAAGUCAUGUAUGGUAGUUUAGAUUGUAUGUAUC